UACAGAGGGUGCAAGCGUUAAUCGGAGUUACUGGGCGUAAAGGGCGCGUAGGCGGCUCUUUAAGUUGGAUGUGACAUUCCUGGGCUUAACCUAGGAACUGCAUACAAGACUGGAUAGCUGGAGUACUGUAGAGGGUAGUGGAAUUUCCGGUGUAGCGGUGAAAUGCGUAGAGAUCGGAAGGAACACCAGUGGCGAAGGCGGCUACCUGGACAGAUACUGACGCUGAGGCGCGAAAGCGUGGGGAGCAAACGGG
RNAcentral lists this ribosomal RNA (253 nucleotides) under uncultured bacterium. RNAcentral describes it as "partial 16S ribosomal RNA". It matches the Rfam family "Bacterial small subunit ribosomal RNA", at positions 524 to 776 of the family's 1533-position model. The record is from RNAcentral.